GUGUUCUAAUGGAUGCCCUCAAGCUAGAGGCGUCUCUUCCUGAAAGACAUUCAUCUUUUUUCUGUGUCACAGGCUUGCCGUCGUCCUCGUGAGUUCUGGCGCCUUGACUACUGGGAAGAUGACUUGCGGCGCCGGCGACGAUUUGUGCGUAACCCUCUAGGAUCGACACAUCCUGAAGCGACACUAAAAACAGCCGUGGAACAUGCCACAGAUGAAGAUAUCCUUGCUAAAGGAAAACAGUCCAUCAAGAGUCAGGCUUUAGGAAAUCAGAACUCAGAAAACGAGAUCCUCCUGGAAGGCGAUGAUGAUACUCUGUCAUCCGUGGAUGAGAAAGAUUUAGAGAAUCUUGCUGGUCCUGUUAGCCUGAGCACACCAGCUCAGCUUGUGGCCCCCUCUGUUGUAGUAAAGGGCACUCUUUCUGUCACCUCCUCCGAACUCUAUUUUGAGGUGGAUGAAGAGGAUCCUAACUUCAAAAAAAUCGACCCCAAGAUCUUGGCGUAUACAGAAGGGCUGCAUGGAAAAUGGCUGUUCACAGAGAUACGAUCAAUCUUUUCUCGUCGUUAUCUUU
Molecule: small RNA, 568 nt
Filed under: Pan troglodytes (chimpanzee)
Lineage: Eukaryota; Metazoa; Chordata; Mammalia; Primates; Hominidae
Description: processed transcript
Source: RNAcentral